This is a long non-coding RNA of Cyprinus carpio carpio, 1255 nucleotides long. The record is from Ensembl. Lineage: Eukaryota; Metazoa; Chordata; Actinopteri; Cypriniformes; Cyprinidae.
GGCAGAGCAACUCAAGCCAGUUUUCCAAUUGUCACCAUGAUACCUCAUGAAAAGCAAACAAACUAUUUGUUAAACAAAAGGAAAUCUUUUCAGCAUCACUGACCCUCCUUUUUGAAGAACCAUGUGACUUCUUCCACUGGUGUCAUUAUUAAAAGCGUCAGCAUGUGUUUAGAGGCACUGCACAUCACCACUCGCAGAGUGAACAUCUCGGUGAACAUCAGCAUUAUUUACGUGGAUCACUGCCGAUCCGGGAAAUGGCUCUGAAAGUGGACUUCUGCGUGGUUCUUCUUGUUGUGAUGUUCGGCUGUAUGCAGGUCCCUGGUUCAGCCACUACUACUUAUUCUCCAUUAAACACCACUACCACCACUGCCAAAAACAACGGUGGGAAUGGGAACGGCGUUAAUCUGAAUGGGAACGGUGGUAACCAGAUUACGAACAGCACAAUUUCAACCAGCUUUAAUGGGUCUAUGAACAACACCACACCAUCCAGCUCCAAAAACAACACAACCCAGAAUCCUAAAGAAGCAAGUUUCGGUGCCCUCACUGGCAGUUCCUCCGAUUCCUCCGUGACCAGCUGCUUCAAACUUCCGCUGCUUGCGUUCAUGACUUUGAGCUUUCUACAGAUGAUACAGUGACCAUCAACCUCGCUUCUGCUUUGAAGGCAGACAAUAAUGUGAGAUUCUUUGGAGACUUAAUAGUCUUUCUGAAAUGCUAUGAAACUUUCGUAGAUGUUAUACAGCUUGUAACAAACAGCUUUUUGCUUAACAUUAGCGAAAAAUAUUUCAAAAAUGAAAAAUAUUGAUACUAUUCACAACCAUUAUUAAACAAGCAAUCUGUUUUUUUGUGUGUGUGUGUAAAAUGCUGUAAUAUCUUUAUAAUUUAAUCAACAAAGGUAAAUCUAUGCCUCUGUAAGCUGUUGUUAGUUAACUGAUUGUUUUUAGAAGCAAUAAAACUUUGAAGUACCAUGAAGUCUUACUUGCGAGUUACAUAGUAAAACACAGGGUUUCCGUUCUUUGAAGUUCCAGCCUGGUAAAAGAUGUUAAGAGUCUUCAAUGCUUUAAACUCUUCUUUCUCAUGCACCUGGUGUCUAAAACAAAUAAAAACAGUUAUGGACUGCAGUUAUGAACUGCAAAGUAAAAGUGGGGUUUCUGCUUAAAAUAAGAAUAAAAUUAAUAGAAAAAUAAAAAAGUAAUUCAAACUGACAAGCAGUCUUUUAUCUGUUAUAACAAUGUUUAGAUUUUCUUUAUUGGAAAAG